RNAcentral lists this ribosomal RNA (412 nucleotides) under uncultured bacterium. Its description in RNAcentral is "partial 16S ribosomal RNA". It matches the Rfam family "Bacterial small subunit ribosomal RNA", at positions 355 to 759 of the family's 1533-position model. The record is from RNAcentral.
UGGGGAAUUUUGGACAAUGGGCGAAAGCCUGAUCCAGCAAUGCCGCGUGUGUGAAGAAGGCCUUCGGGGUUGUAAAGCACUUUUGUCCGGAAAGAAAUCCUUGGCUCUAAUACAGUCGGGGGAUGACGGUACCGGAAGAAUAAGCACCGGCUAACUACGUGCCAGCAGCCGCGGUAAUACGUAGGGUGCAAGCGUUAAUCGGAAUUACUGGGCGUAAAGCGUGCGCAGGCGGUUUGCUAAGACCGAUGUGAAAUCCCCGGGCUCAACCUGGGAACUGCAUUGGUACUGGCAGGCUAGAGUAUGGCAGAGGGGGGUAGAAUUCCACGUGUAGCAGUGAAAUGCGUAGAGAUGUGGAGGAAUACCGAUGGCGAAGGCAGCCCCCUGGGCCAAUACUGACGCUCAUGCACGAAAA